Long non-coding RNA from Mus musculus (house mouse), 10904 nucleotides. RefSeq annotates it as predicted gene, 50600. NCBI's taxonomy places the organism in Eukaryota, Metazoa, Chordata, Mammalia, Rodentia, Muridae. The record is from RefSeq and is a predicted model, not a curated record. The transcript has 2 exons.
UGGGGAAAGGGUAUAUGGAAGGAAGGGAUUGUAGUUCAGAGGGUAAGCCAGGAAGGUGGGCUCUAAAGAUGGAGUGUGAACAGGAAUCAGAGGAGUUGGGAAGAGUUACAGUCUUUGUUGUUUAGCAUUGCCCUGUAGCUCAUGCAGAAAUUAUGGGUCUGGGGCCUAGGAGAUAGCUUAGUGGGUAAGAGGUUUACUAUGCAAGCGUGAGGACCUGAGUCCAGAGCCCAGUACACACAUAAAAAGCCAGGUAUGGACUGUGUGUCUGUAAUCACAAUGCUGUGGGAAUAGUGAUGGGAAGAUGGAUGGGUCUUGCUGGCUGUCAAUCUAGCUCAAGGUUCAAGGGAGACUCUGUCUCAAAGGAACAAGGCAGACAGUGAUAGAGAGCAGGAUAUCCGUUGUGGGGCAGUUGGUCGUGGCAAGAAGCUUGGUGAGGUUGAGUGGGUUCAGAGACCCCAGCUCUCACCUGAGCACAGUAGGUGUUUCCCUGCUCCCUACCAGACUCCUGGCCUGAAACACAUGACCACACGCCACACAUAGGGAUGUGACAACCACGUAGCACAAAACAGUUCUCCAUGCCAGUGAGGUGUCUAGAUGGGCCCUGGGGAUUUAGCUAAGCUUUUCUUCCCAGACAUUCCUUCCUGCAAAAGGUAUUUAAUCUCUGGUCCACCCUGAGGAGGUUGUAUGCACCCAUUUUCCAUGAUGAACAGUGACUGAAUGGUCUGAAUAAGCAUGGACUGUCUCCCAUCAAGAACUGCCACGGGAAGCAUGGAGCGAGCCUUCAUCUGCAGAGCUUCCAAGUCUAAGUCUCUUGCAGAAGGCCCCUCCUUGCUAGCCGGAGUAGUUGUCUGUGUUGUCCCCCCUGGUCCCCUCGUCCUGGUCUUGUCACCCUCAGCCAUUGGGCCCCGGACUACUCCUCCUUGUGAUUUCCAGCGGCAUUUGAAUGUCCAGGAGUCAGGGAAGCCCAACUUCAGCCUCAGCCUGCAUUUUUCUUACUCAGGCUAAGGCCCCCAGCCUGGACUGCAUUCAUUCUUUCUCUCUCUCUCUCUCUCUCUCUCUCUCUCUCUCUCUCUCUCUCUCUCUGUCACACACACAUCCAGAGUGGUGCUUCCUGAAAGCCCAUCACCAAAUGGUGGCAUAGGGUAAGAUGUAGUCUAGCAUCUUCCAUUUUGCCAGCUUAAGUGGUGUUUAGCGGCGAGAUGGACCAUGGGACCACAUCUGGCAUAUAUACCAUGGGACAUACUCAGCUGACACAUACCCCAGCUGGCAACCCACAAGAUCCACAUCAGCACUCUGAAUUAAACAGACUGUGAGUAACCCCUGGCGCUAGGCCAAAAGACUCAGACCUUCCCACUCUAAAGACAGAUACAUCCUCUUCCCACUUUUGUUUGUGGGCGGAGCUACUGCACUGACCCCCAUCUAAAUCCAGACAAUCCAAGGGACCAUUGAUAAAAACUCCGAGGCAGAGCUGGCUCCAGAGCCACAGUGGCUACUCCAACUUGGCCAAGAACACACAAUCCAUUGCCUUCCUCUGACCUCUGUAUGUGUGCAUACAUUCAGGCAUACAGUAUACUUGCACGCAAAGAUGAAUGUGUCCCUUAACAACACUUCCCAAUUCAAACUUGAUGUUGGGUACUUAACAGUUCACUAAAGGUCUGAAUUUUUUAUUAUAGUUUUGUGUAUGUAGGUGUGCUUGUGUGGAUGGGUAUGUGUAUAUUCAUGCAUGCACACAUGUGGUCACAUGCAUGUAGAGGCCAGAGAUCCCUCUACUAUCAUUCUUUAUGUGCUGUCUGUCCUGUUUUUCUGAGACAAAGUGUCUUUAUUGACUUAAAAAUUUGUUAAUUAGACUAGGUCUGGCCAGGGAGCCCCAGGGUUCUACCUUUGUCUUAGGGUUUCUAUUGCUGUGAAGAGAUACCUUACACAAUUCUUAAAAAGGAAAACAUUUAACUGGAGCUGGCUUAUAAUUCAGAGGUUUAAUCCAUUGUCAUCUUGGUGGGAAACAUGGUGGCAGGCAGGUGGACAUGAUGCUGAAGAGAUAGCUGAGACUUAGUUCUACAUCUAGAUCUACAGGGAACAGAAAGAACAGUGGACCUGGCUCCAGGAUUUUAGACCUAAAAGCCCUCUCCAGUGACACACUUCCUCCAACAAAGCCACACCUACUCCCAACAAGGCCACACCUCCUAACAGUGCCACUCCCUAUGGGGCCAAUUCAUCUAAACCCUCACAUUUCACUCCUUGACCAUAGAGUCUGAUUUAUCUUGUGGGCCUGGCUCUUUAAAGGAUCCCCAGUGGUGAUCCUUUAAAGAUGGAUCCUUUAAAGUGCAGCCUGGCAGUGGUGUCGCACAACUUUAAUCCCAGCACUUGGGAGGCAGAGGCAGAUGAAUUUCUGAGUUCGAGGCCAGCCUGGUCUACAGAGUGAGUUUUAGGACAGCCAGGGCUAUACAGAGAAACCCUGUCUCAAAAAAACCAAAAAAGAAAAAAAAAAAAGGAUCCCAGUUGCUAGUCAACUGGCCCUUUAAGAAUUCUUAGCUGUAAGAACUGCUUGACCCCAUAACCUUUAGUAUUGGUUGCCUCUUGAGUUUCUGGGAACAGGAUAGGAUAUCAAAAAGUCAGCAGAGGCUAAGAGGGAUUGGGGGCUAGCAGGCUGAGGAGAAGGCAGUUGAUACAGAAGAAGAAAAAGUCAAGUGAGGACACCCUGAGAUGAGCAGGCUGAUAGCUAAUAGGUUAGAGAACAGUUGUUAUAAUAUGGAACUGUUAGUAUUAGGAAAAGUGGGAGAAGGGGCUGUUUAAGCAGACUGUUGGGGAACUGAGGAGAUGGUUGGGAGAAACAUUUGAAGAGGUUGGGCUGGAAACUGGGAGGAACGGUUUGGAAAGAAAUUAGAUUCAGAUACAUACACACACACACACACACCAAUCCUUUUUUCUCUCCUAUCUAGUGUUAGAGGGUGAAAUGGGGGUGGGGAUAAAGAGUGGGAGAAAGAAAAAGCAAAGACCACAAAAUAGCAAAGUCCAGCUGUAAACCACUAUAGACUUGUAGCCAUACCAUAAUGUAAAAUGUACUUAGUUCAACUUCAAAAGUACCCAUUUUCUGUAACAGUCUCAACCCUGUUUAGAAAUCCAAAGUUCAGCGUCUCUUCUGAGACUCAUGGUAAUCUCUUAACUGUAAUCCCUGUAAAGUCAAAAUGGAAAACAAACAAAACACAAAAUAAAACCAGGUCACAUACUUAAAACAUACAGUGGUUCCAAAAGGGAGGGAAGGGAGCAUAAUGCAUAAUGGACCGGUGCGAGACCAAAAACCAGUUAGUGCAAACUAAAUUCUGCAUCUCCAUGUCUGAUGUCAAAAUGCUCUUCGGAUCUCCAGCCCAUUCAGUUUUGCUGAACACUCUUCUUGGGUUGAUUCUACUCCCUGUUAACAGCUUUCCUUGGCAGGUAUCCUACAGUUCUGGCGUCCCCAACAUCUUGGGGUCUCCAAGGCAAUACAGCCUUAACCUUCACAGUUUCACACAAUGGCCUCUCUGGGCCUCCAUUCAGGGACACCCCUGACACAAGCCUGGCCUCAGCAGCUUUCCUUGGUUUCGGAGGGAGAUUCUGUAACCCUUUCCUUAUCUGUCUUGUAUCCUUGCCUCUAAAACCAGGGCCAUGUGGCUGAAGCUUCCUGGUUCUGCUGUUUGCUUGGGCUGGUGGGCAGAGGUUCCCUUGUUCAAUCACAUCUGCAUAAGCUUUAUGGUUUUGAUGGUUUCCUUUGCUACUUAAGCUUUUCUUUAAUUACUUUUCACAAGUUGGAAGCUUAGCUGGAUAGAUCUUUCCCUAGACUCUGCUUACUACUCCUUUUAUUUCAUUUAAUCUGUUUAUUUCCUUGAACUCGGGCCUUAGCUCCAUUAUACUUCCUAGUGCCCCCUUUCUCCUCAAGGUGUAUAUUUUGUAUAGUUUUUCUUCUUCAGCUUGCUCUUUUAUGUAUGUCUAUGAAUUAUAUGCUUGUCUGCUACCAAUGGAGACUGUAAGAAGGUAUGGGGCCCCUGGUAGUUAGGGAGAGCUGUGAGCUACUAUGUAGGUGCUAGGAAUUAAACUUGGGUCCUCAGGAAAACAAAUAGUGCUCUUCGUAAACAGCCAUUUUUUUCAGCCACCCCUCCCUUUUUGAAAUGGUGUCAUGUAACCCAAGCUGGCAUCAGACUUCAUAUGUAGCUAAGGAUGACCUUGGACUCGUACUCCUGCUUCUACCUCCCCAGAAAUGGGAUUACAAGUGUGUACCACCGUGCCUGUAGUUGGUACACUUUUAUUUUUUACCAUGUAGGAUCAAACUCAGAUUGUCUCACUUGGCACAGUUCACCUCUAAGCCAUCUCAUUGGCCAUAGACUAUUUAUAUUUUCAGAAAUAUAACAAAAAUGAUUUUUUAUUAAUAUCCUACUUGGGUUUUUUGUUUAUUUUGAGAUGAUCUUACUCUUUAGCCCUGACGGUCUGGAACUCACUAGCCUUAAACUCUGCCUUGAGCAAGAUAUGCCUGCCUUUGUUUCCUAAGUGCUGGGAUUAGAGGUGUUUCCCACCUCUUCUCACUACUGUAGUUGUUACCAGACCUGGUAGUACUGAUUUGUAUUCCCUGCUAUUCUUGAAGCUCAGAGUAAUAGUUUAUCCAUCUGUAAUCUUAUUAUUUGGGAGGCUGAAAUAUGAUUAUCACAAGUUUAAGACUAGCCUGGGCUACAUAUCAAGUCUAGGAUAGCAAUAGUAAUAAUUUUUUAAAAUAGAGCUAGGGACAUCAAAGGUAGUGGGGCUGCCUAGUAUGUGUAAGGCCUGAGAUUCAGUCCUAGGUACUGAGAAGGGGAGGGGGAAAUAGCUCAGUCAGUAAAAUGCCAGGUGCACAGGCUUGAAGAUCUAGCAUUGUCUUACACUGACAUAAAAGCUGAGCCCUGUGCCACACCUUUUAAACUCAGCACAGGUGGGAUGGAGAUAGACAGAUCCCUAGAGCUUAUUGCUUAGCUAGCCUGGCUGAAUUGAUGAGCUCUAAGCUCAGAGAUCCUGUCUCAAAAAUAAGAUUUAGAGCCAGUGAGACAGCUUAGAUGCAUACAUACACCCACAUACAUGUUUACAUGCCCACAUGAACACAUCAUUACCACUGCACACACAUACACAUACAAACAGUAAUAAUUUAUUGUAAUUAAUAGGCCAAUAUUGAUGACUUGUUUUUGAUUAUUCAGAGUAUUUUUCUCUAAUACCUGUUUUCUCUUCCAGGGUCCCACAAAGAUUACAACAUACAAAUUAAUUUUUCUGUCUAGUUGCUUCUUGGCGGUGACAGAAUCACAGCUUCCAUAUUUGUGAUGGCCUUUACACUUUUAAGAGAAAGGGGAAGCUCAUAAAACUUAGAAAGUAAAGGAGACGUCCAAGUUUCAGGAAGAGUUUGCAACCUAGAAGAUUCACAGGGAGCUUCACUGGGCUACAGAAACAGUAACCAUUACUAUGAAGAGAAAGGAAAGUGUCCUGUGGUUGAACUGAACUGUCUUCGAGGCCGUUAGAGUUCCAGGCCUGCAGUUUCUAUGAGUCGUCCUGUGUGAGGUGAGCUUUUCAGUGACUUGGAUGUCUCCGAGCCAUCUAGCUCCAGUAAGUAACCUAAGUGCACUGCCUGGUUCACACUAGACUUGGGUAGAAUGACUUCUGCACACUGGCACCCCAUCUAGAAUGAAUAGACAAGUCGUCCUUCUUGGCUCAGGAAGUCACAAACACCUGUUUAUAUUGGACAAGUGCUCUACUGCCAUGCUGUACUCCCACCUCCUUGUUUUCUCUUUAGGUUUUCUGGUUAGUGUCAGCCCUUGAGUAAGAAAAAGCAGACAGUCAUGUCUGGCCCAGGAUGUUCUUGCUGUACCUUCAUAUCCCAGUUCCUUCAGCACAAGCUGCACUGCUCAUAAGGUUAGGAGAUGGCUGAGGACUUUUUUUUUUUUUUGGUUUUUCGAGACAGGGUUUCUCUGUGUAGCUCUGGCUGUCCUGGAACUUACUCUGUAGACCAGGCUGGCCUCGAACUCAGAAAUCCGCCUGCCUCUGCCUCCCGAGUGCUAGGAUUAAAGGCAUUCGCCACCACGCCUGGCAGGAUUUUUUUUUUUUUUUGAAAGAUUUGUAUGCAUGUGUCUCUGAAUGUCUGCCCACAUCUGUGGCCACGAGGAGAUCAGAAGAGGGUAUCAGGUUUCUCCCACUCUACCUAUGGUCUUUCCCUGAACCUGGGACUUUUGUUUGUUUUUCAGUUGGACAGAGUCUAGCAAGGUGUAGUGGUCUCUGUCUCUGCCUCCCUUAGAACCGGGUUGUAGAGUGUAUUGGUUUCCAGCUUGUUAUAUGGGUGUUGGAUCCUCAUGAUUAUGCAACACGUACUUUAACUACACAUCAUCUCCAGCCCAGAGGGGUUUUGUUUGUUGCUUGCUUUGUUUUUUUGAGACAAGAUCUCAUGCUUGAACUUGCUAAGUAGCCAAGGAUGCCAUUGAACUCAGAGUUGGGGUCCCUGGUGCUGAGAUGACAGGCACAUACCACUGUGCUUGGCCAGAGAUGACUUAAGUCUUGAUGCCUCCUUUGAGAAUAUCUUUGCUCUCACAUAUACUUUUCAUGUUGGGGCGCAUCUGGCUCAGUCAAAGCAUAGGGGAUGCUUUUGUAUAACUCUCUCCUCCAGAUUAAAGCAUUCCCUCCGGGAAGAAUAAGGAAGGUUCCUAAAACUCAGGAAGUAAAUAAGACUUAAAAGCUGCACAAGGCUUCUCACCUGAGGUUAUAGAAGAAAUAACAGUUGUACAUAUAGGGACUCAGGGUUCCAUCUGUAGCACCACCACCACCAGUCAUGAGGGAGAGCCUACCAGGCAGAGAAGCAGGAUGCUUGGGACCCAGACAGACAAAAUGGAUACCAGGGGCUGCAGAUAGGGCUCAGUGGUUACAACACUUGCUGGACAGUUGUUAAGAACAGAGUUUGAGUCCCUAAGACCCAUAUAAAUGCCAGCUGGAUGGGUUGCAGUACCCUGUAAUUUCAGCCUUGGGAGGUGGAGACAGAAUCAGCAGAGCAUGCUAAUGGGGUCUGGUUUGAUUGAAGCUCUGCCUAUGGUUCCCAACAUCAACAUGGGCCUCCACAUGCAUGUACACAUUGCACCUGCACAUGUGUGAGCUCAUACAUGCAAACAUGCAUACAUAUACACAUACAUACAUACAUACAUAUAUGAAGGAAAAAAAGGGGGAGGGUACGCCUAUUCUGGAAGAUUAUUCUUCAUAAGGAAUUCAGGUAGUGAGUAAAGAGAAUGGUGAAGACACUGAAGAGGUGAUGGUCACCUGUUCUGAAGAAUCACAGAGAAGAAGCUGGAGAAGUUACAUCAUGAUUCUAAGGACAGGGUAAGACUAAGCUUUACAUUCAUUUGUUUGUUUUUUAGGUGAGCAGUGGGUGGUGGUAUCACAUGCUUUUAAUCUUAGCAGUUAGGAGUCAGAGGCAGACAGAUCUCUGAGUCUGAGGCUAGCCUGGUCUACAGAGCUACUUUCAGGAUAACUAGGACUACGCAAGGAAACUGUCUUAAAAGGGUGUAUAUGUGUGUAGUUGUCUGAGGCCAGAAGAGGGUAAAUAAGUACUGGAGCUGGGGUUAUAAGUGGUUGGGAGGCACCUAAUGUGGGUGCUGGGCUUGUGCAAGAACAUCACGCCCUCUUAAGCUAUCUCAUCAAACCCAGGUCCUACGUUUUUGUAAAUCAUGUGGUUGCCCUAGCAACAGGAAACAUGCCCACAUGUGUUUUCUGUCAACUCCUUUGAAGCAAGCUGUGGACAUGUGUUUAUUAGUUCUCUGUUACGGACAGAGCGCCUGAGAUGAGCACCUUAGGUUAGGGAAGGUUUACCUUGGCUUCUGGGCUUCAGUCUGUGGUCCCUUGGCUCCCUUGCUUCUGGCCUCUGAUGGGAGAGCGGAAGAUGGUGGUGGGAAACAUCCAGUGGAACACAGCUGCCCAUCUCAUGGCAGCUAGGAGUGGGAGAGGCUGAGGACAGGAGAGCAGGUACCACAUAUCCACCCCUAGUGACCUGCUUCCUCCAACAAGGUCCUCCCUCCUAUCAGCCCUGUCAGUUUGUAAUGGCUCAUUCAGAUGUGAACCUAUCAAUGGAUAGGUUAUCAAUGGAUAGGAACUUGAGGAGCCACUGAUGAAGUCAGAGUCUCCACAGUCCAUCUUGCCCAGUCCAUCUCUCAACAUUACUGCAUAGGGAAACUUUGAAGAUAGGGACUUUGGGGGGACUGUGGAGAUGGCUCAGUUUGAAAAGUGCAUCCUAUACAAGCAUGACACUGCUUGGAUUACCAGUAUCCAUUAAAUAAAAAAAUAAAAUAAAAUAAAAAGUGAAAAAAACUCAAGGCUGGGUAUGUUGACCUGUGCUUAUGAUCUCAGUGUUCAGAAGGUAGAGGUAUGAUGGUUGCUGAAAGUUCCAGGCUGUCCAUGGGUUCAUGGUGAGACCUCAUGUUCAAAGGGUAAGAACAAACAAAACAACCCAGGAGCAGCAGCCAGGUGUUGUGAACCUAAGUCAGUACUGAGAAGACUGGAAUGUCUCCAUGGCUUGGUGUCCAAGCAGGCUAGCCAAAGAGUGAAAAGCCCUUUCUUUCACACACACCAAACAAACAAAAAUGGCUUUUAACACAGACACUUGGGAGGUACAAGCAAAUGGAAUUCUGAGUUCAAUGUCAGUCAAGGAUACACAGUGAGACUAUCUCAAAAACCAAAAAACAAGAGUGAUUGAGGAAGAUGCCCAGUGUUGAGUUGUAGCCUCCACAUACAUGGUACUGGAAUAUAAGAAGUCUUGCAGCUGGGUAAAGAGUGAUUGGGGGAAAUGCCCAAUGUUGGCCUGUAGCUUCCACAUACAUGUGCACACAUAUACACACAUAGUGCUGUCAUGUGGGGAGAUAGGAAAACUUGCAGCUGGGUAUAAGGUAGCCAACCAGAAAGAGGAAGGAAAGCUCUAGGAAAAACAAGACAGAGCUGGCUCCACUGCUCUCCUAGGCAACACAGUAGGGCUAUCCUUGAUGGUGGGAGCUAGCCCCAAGGGUAUAGGCAGGGAAGGGCUAGUCCUACCCUUAGACUGCUAUAGGGUGGCUUGGGAGAAAGAGAGGCUCCCUCAGCCCCUUACCUCUCACUGCCUUUGAGAUAGCCCUGUACCUCACCUGGGCAGCACAGUAGAGCUGACCCUGGUGGUAAAGGUGUUGGUAGGCUGGCCCAAAGAUGAGAACAGGAAAGCUGGUCCUACCUACCCCUUGCUGGCUUGGCACUGGGUGAACUAGCCAGGGCACUGCUGGAGAGCUCACCCUGGUAGUGUGGGUACAAGAAAGCUGCUGACCCACGCAGCUACCUCCCAGGCCUACACCAUCUAUGAUCUGCUGAUGCUAGUGAAAGGGUUGGUCCUGUAGAUCCAAAGUAGCAGGCUCUUCAUAGCACAGAGCAACAACAGAAUAUCUGGGAGGAGUGCCUGUGACGAUCCAGUAUUGACAGACAGUGUAGCAGAAACCAGAGGUCUCAGUACAGACCAAUGGCUCAUUGCAAUAAACAUUUGCAAAUAAAGAUGUAUGGAUAAAAGGGUAUACUAUGGAACACAGUUUAGCUUCCAUGGCAAGAAUUUUUUCUUUUUUAUUCUAAUUUUAUAUGGGGGAGGGUUUGCAAGGGUGGAUAUGGAGGGGUGGGGAGAUGAGUGGGAUUGGGGUGUAUGAUGUGAAAAUCAUAAAAAAAUUAAGUAAAACAAGCAAAAUAACAAGCCAGUCCUUUGCUGGGUCCCAUGUAGCACCUCCUGCACCGUACCCCCAUCUCCACCUCUCUAGGAACACACAAGGCACGUUUGCUCUUUUAAUAAGCUCAGCAGCUGUUAGUAAUUACAACUUCACUUGUAACCAUCUAAUUGCUACAGACUGAAUUGUGGGUAUGCGCAGCUUCUAAGAAACCAUCUUCCUAUUCCUGAAAAGAGACCUUAGAGUGUCUUAGUGGUGGGUUAAAAAAAAAAAAAAAAAAGGAAGAGAAAUGCUAGGCCCAGCCCUGUCAGUCCAGGAGCUAGAGGCAGCUGUUGUUGAUAUUUGUUGGCUUAAUCCACCCUCCAUUCAGAGAUGAUAUGCUUCUGCUUUUUAAAAAUUAAAUUUUAUGUGUAUGUGUGUCAUAAUGCAUGUGUUGAAGUCAAAGGGUAACUUAGAGGAGUCAGUUCUACCAUGUGUCCUUCUGACAAACUGGGAUCAUCAGGUUUGGCAGUAAGAACAUUAAUCCUGCAUUUGCUUUUGUUGUUGUUAUUAUUAAAUUCGUUCACUUUACAUUCCAAUAUCAGCCCCGACAAGUACCCCUUCACAAAGGUCCUCCCUCCCCAUUCCACUCUCCCUUUCUCCUUUCAAAGGAGGAGUCUCUUCUAGGUGUUGGUACCCCCAUACACACACGCAUCAGGUUGCUGCAGGGCAGGCAACAGACUCAGGGACACACUUCCAGUUGGUGGGGGACCCACAUGAAGACUAAGCUGCUUAUAUGCUACAUAUGUGCAGUGGGGCUAGGUUCAGUCCAUGCUCACUCUUUGGUUGGUGAUUCAGGCUCUGGGAAACCCCAAGUGUCCAGGUUAGUUCAUUCUGCUGGUGUUCCUCUGGAUUCCCUGUCCUCUUGGGGUCCAGUCUGCCAAUCCCCCCCCAAUUUUCCCAUAAAAUUCCCCUAGCUCUUCUAAUAUUUGACUGUGGGUCUCUGCAUCUCUUUCCAUUGGCUGCUAGUUGGAGCCUCUUAGAUGACAGUUAAAUGCUAGGUUCCUGUCUGCAAACAUAACUAGAACAAGCAGAAAGUCUAUAUUUAAAACCAGAUGCAGGAAAGAGGGUCAAGACUUCAAGAUCAUAACCACCUUCAGGAGGAUUCAACACCUUUGGCCUCUAUGCGUGCCUGCACAUAACUUGUCCCUAUAAUACACAUAAUUAUAAAUAAUGAAA